CCUACGGGAGGCAGCAGUGGGGAAUUUUGGACAAUGGGGGCACCCCUGAUCCAGCCAUGCCGCGUGAGUGAAGAAGGCCUUCGGGUUGUAAAGCUCUUUCGGCCGGGAAGAAAUCGUGGUCUCUAACAUAGGCCAUGGAUGACGGUACCGGACUAAGAAGCACCGGCUAACUACGUGCCAGCAGCCGCGGUAAUACGUAGGGUGCGAGCGUUAAUCGGAAUUACUGGGCGUAAAGCGUGCGCAGGCGGUUUUGUAAGACAGAUGUGAAAUCCCCGGGCUUAACCUGGGAACUGCGUUUGUGACUGCAAGGCUAGAGUACGGCAGAGGGGGGUGGAAUUCCACGUGUAGCAGUGAAAUGCGUAGAGAUGUGGAGGAACACCGAUGGCGAAGGCAGCCCCCUGGGCCAAUACUGACGCUCAUGCACGAAAGCGUGGGGAGCAAACAGGAUUAGAUACCCUGGUAGUCCACGCCCUAAACGAUGUCAACUAGGUGUUGGUGGGGUUAAACCCAUUAGUACCGUAGCUAACGCGUGAAGUUGACCGCCUGGGGAGUACGGCCGCAAGGUUAAAACUCAAAUGAAUUGACGG
This 587-nucleotide ribosomal RNA is filed under the name uncultured bacterium. RNAcentral's name for it is "bacterial SSU rRNA". It matches the Rfam family "Bacterial small subunit ribosomal RNA", at positions 338 to 916 of the family's 1533-position model. The record is from RNAcentral.